AUCUCCUCUCUCCCAACCCAUCCCGAUCCCCUCUCACAGCGAGACUCUCCCCGACCCCGUGGCGAUUCCCUCUGACAGCGAGACUCUCCCCGUCCUCUUCUCUCGACCUAGGGAAUCCAUGCCAUGAUCACCUCCACCAUGCGAGACUCUCCCCGACCUCUUCUCUCGACCUAGGGCAUCCAUGCCAUGAUCACCUCCACCAUGCGAGACUCUCCCCGACCUCUUCUCUCGACCUAGGGCAUCCAUGCCAUGAUCACCUCCACCAAUCGCAGCGGCAUCGCUCGCCAUUUCUGAGGUUUACUUGCUCCAAAACAAGGUUCGUGAGUUGUGUUGAAGAUGGAUCUAACUUCAAAUGAAUUCUUGCCCGGCAACUGAUGCAAUUCGAAAGGAAAAGUUGUUUGAAGAGCUUUUGAAGGUUGAGGGACUCGUCGAUAAGGAUCGUAUGAUUGCUUACGAUAUCUUAACAUGAUACAACCAAACUAACUGGAUUUUACGGAAUUCCGUCAGAGUUUAGAAAGGAAUAUAUUGAGUAUAUUCUAACUACACGUAGAUAAAGUUGUUUUAUAUUUUGCAAUGACUAGAGGAUGUCAAACUUUGGUAUUUUGUUUUUGUUUUCAAUGUCUAUGAAGCGUUGAACUUAUUUGUUGUUUACUUUCUAUGAUAGAUGUUGCUUUCUUGUUUGGACUUGUUAUGGAUAUUUGAUGUUGCUUAUAAAUUUUUAUUUUUGAACAA
This is a long non-coding RNA of Ananas comosus (pineapple), 732 nucleotides long. RefSeq lists it as uncharacterized. The transcript has 2 exons. The record is from RefSeq and is a predicted model, not a curated record. Lineage: Eukaryota; Viridiplantae; Streptophyta; Magnoliopsida; Poales; Bromeliaceae.